CACUUUGCCUGUGCAAUGCCAAGACUUCUCCUGAAAAUGGGAGCAACUACUGCCCUUCUCCACAAACCCAUCUUCAAGCUCUCUCCCUCUCAUCCUUCUAACCUCCAUACCUUCAAACCCACUUUGCAUUUCCGGGUUCCAGCUUCAACAUCUGUUUUCUUUGGUGAGUUUGGUUUCAAGAAAAUCGUGUCGAAGACCUCCAUUACUGAGCUGGUUAAAACUUCUGAGUUUAGGACUGGUGAUGAUGAGAAAAAUGUCAGAAUGUUUCAACAAG
RNAcentral lists this unclassified non-coding RNA (274 nucleotides) under Hevea brasiliensis (rubber tree). The record is from RNAcentral. Lineage: Eukaryota; Viridiplantae; Streptophyta; Magnoliopsida; Malpighiales; Euphorbiaceae.